RNAcentral lists this small RNA (26 nucleotides) under Bombyx mori (domestic silkworm). RNAcentral describes it as "ovarian small RNA-22421". Lineage: Eukaryota; Metazoa; Arthropoda; Insecta; Lepidoptera; Bombycidae. The record is from RNAcentral.
UAGCGAUAUACGUGCGUUCGGUUGCU